RNAcentral lists this non-coding RNA (24 nucleotides) under Arabidopsis thaliana (thale cress). Lineage: Eukaryota; Viridiplantae; Streptophyta; Magnoliopsida; Brassicales; Brassicaceae. The record is from RNAcentral.
UGCGAGAGCCGAGAUAUCCGUUGC